CUACGGGGGGCAGCAGUGAGGAAUAUUGGUCAAUGGGCGCGAGCCUGAACCAGCCAUCCCGCGUGCAGGAUGACGGCCCUAUGGGUUGUAAACUGCUUUUCUAUGCCAAGAAACCUGAUUACGUGUAAUCAGUUGCCGGUAGCAUAGGAAUAAGCAUCGGCUAACUCCGUGCCAGCAGCCGCGGUAAUACGGAGGAUGCAAGCGUUAUCCGGAUUCAUUGGGUUUAAAGGGUGCGCAGGUGGGCUUGUAAGUCAGUGGUGAAAUGCUGCCGCUUAACGGUAGAACUGCCAUUGAUACUGCGAGUCUUGAGUAUGGUUGAGGUAGGCGGAAUGUGUUGUGUAGCGGUGAAAUGCAUAGAUAUGACACAGAACGCCAAUUGCGAAGGCAGCUUACUAAGCCAUUACUGACGCUGAGGCACGAAAGCGUGGGGAGCGAACAGGAUUAGAUACCCUAGUAGUC
This 459-nucleotide ribosomal RNA is filed under the name uncultured bacterium. RNAcentral's name for it is "partial 16S ribosomal RNA". It matches the Rfam family "Bacterial small subunit ribosomal RNA", at positions 339 to 795 of the family's 1533-position model. The record is from RNAcentral.